CUUGCGCUUACAACAGCAUCAUAGACCCCAGAGAUGCCGUCUCGAUCUAUCUCUGUGGACGCGCUUUUCCUAGAUAUUGUAGCGGGCUAGCAGCAAAGUGUAGGUAAGAAAGUGUAGUGUAAGUCUAGCAUAGAAUUUUAAAGGAAAUAUAAAUGACAACUAAUAUCGCCGCUAGGACAGUCUAUAUUUGGACCUCGUAGGUGUGUGUGCUCUUGUCCCUGUCAGGAAGGUGUGGCCAAUAGCCAGUCCAUGUGGAGCAGGCACAGAGAAGAGGACAACCAGAACUAACUGAGACAGGGAGAACCACCUGGCAACCUCUUCACGAGGCACACCUGCUCUGGUUCAGGCUUCAUCUGGGAAGGAUUAAUGGGUCCUGGAAUAGCAGCUCUAAACAGCAGAAGAGGAAAGAGGGAAGAGAGUGAUGCAGUACCUCCAGAACUGCGACCAUGAGGUCCCCAGCUGCCUCACCACCUACCCCAGCGACUCCCAGUCCCUGCCCCUGCAUUGCAUAAUGCUCCCACCACCACGCUUCACUGUCUCGAUGACAUAAACCAGGUGGACUCCAGUCAAGAUCUAGGUACAUCCCAAAAAUGAUCAGAAGGCUCAGGAUGCAUCCAACCUCAGUUUGGAGUGUCAUGGCAUGGGUCUGAAUACUUAUGUACAUGAGAUAUUUCUGUUUUUCAUUUUUAAUAAAUGUAAUUUAUAAAAA
Molecule: long non-coding RNA, 709 nt
Organism: Esox lucius (northern pike)
Lineage: Eukaryota; Metazoa; Chordata; Actinopteri; Esociformes; Esocidae
Source: Ensembl